Molecule: ribosomal RNA, 615 nt
Filed under: uncultured bacterium
Lineage: Bacteria
Description: bacterial SSU rRNA
Rfam family: Bacterial small subunit ribosomal RNA
Source: RNAcentral
CAUGCCGUAAACGUUGGGCGCUAGGUGUGGGGACCUUCCACGGUCUCCGUGCCGCAGCUAACGCAUUAAGCGCCCCGCCUGGGGAGUACGGCCGCAAGGCUAAAACCCAAAGGAAUUGACGGGGGCCCGCACAAGCGGCGGAGCAUGCUGAUUAAUUCGAUGCAACGCGAAGAACCUUACCUAGGUUUGACAUAUAGCGAAAACUUAUAGAGAUAUAAGGUCCUUUUGGGCGCUAUACAGGUGGUGCAUGGCUGUCGUCAGCUCGUGUCGUGAGAUGUUGGGUUAAGUCCCGCAACGAGCGCAACCCUCGUCCUAUGUUGCCAGCACGUAAUGGUGGGGACUCAUAGGAGACUGCCGGGGUCAACUCGGAGGAAGGUGGGGAUGACGUCAAGUCUUCAUGCCCCUUAUGCCUAGGGCUUCAAGCAUGCUACAAUGGCUGGUACAAAGGGCUGCGAAACAGCAAUGUGGAGCGAAUCCCAAAAAGCCAGUCUCAGUUCGGAUUGGGGUCUGCAACUCGACCCCAUGAAGUCGGAGUCGCUAGUAAUCGCAGAUCAGCAACGCUGCGGUGAAUACGUUCCCGGGCCUUGCACUCACCGCCGUACGGACCAGAUCGAU